AUUGAACGCUGGCGGAAUGCUUUACACAUGCAAGUCGAACGGCAGCACGGACUUCGGUCUGGUGGCGAGUGGCGAACGGGUGAGUAAUAUAUCGGAACGUGCCCAGUCGUGGGGGAUAACGUAGCGAAAGCUACGCUAAUACCGCGUACGAUCUACGGAUGAAAGCGGGGGAUCGCAAGACCUCGCGCGAUUGGAGCGGCCGAUAUCAGAUUAGGUAGUUGGUGAGGUAAAGGCUUACCAAGCCGACGAUCUGUAGCUGGUCUGAGAGGACGACCAGCCACACUGGGACUGAGACACGGCCCAGACUCCUACGGGAGGCAGCAGUGGGGAAUUUUGGACAAUGGACGCAAGUCUGAUCCAGCCAUUCCGCGUGCAGGACGAAGGCCUUCGGGUUGUAAACUGCUUUUGUACAGAACGAAAAGGUCUCUAUUAAUACUAGGGGCUCAUGACGGUACUGUAAGAAUAAGCACCGGCUAACUACGUGCCAGCCGCCGCAGUAA
This 500-nucleotide ribosomal RNA is filed under the name uncultured bacterium. RNAcentral's name for it is "partial 16S ribosomal RNA". It matches the Rfam family "Bacterial small subunit ribosomal RNA", at positions 30 to 523 of the family's 1533-position model. The record is from RNAcentral.